CCUACGGGUGGCAGCAGUGAGGAAUAUUGGUCAAUGGACGAGAGUCUGAACCAGCCAAGUAGCGUGAAGGAUGACUGCCCUAUGGGUUGUAAACUUCUUUUAUAUGGGAAUAAAAUGUUCCACGUGUGGGAUUUUGUAUGUACCAUAUGAAUAAGGAUCGGCUAACUCCGUGCCAGCAGCCGCGGUAAUAAGGAGGAUCCGGGCGUUAUCCGGAUUUAUUGGGUGUAAAGGGAGCGUAGGUGGAUUGUUAAGUCAGUUGUGAAAGUUUGGGGCUCAACCGUAAAAUUGCAGUUGAAACUGGCAGUCGUGAGUACAGUAGAGGUGGGCGGAAUUCGUGGUGUAGCGGUGAAAUGCUUAGAGAUCACGAAGAACUCCGAUGGCGAAGGCAGUGCACUGGACUGCAACUGACACUGAGGCGCGAAAGUGUGGGUAUCAAACAGGAUUAGAUACCCCUGUAGUC
RNAcentral lists this ribosomal RNA (460 nucleotides) under uncultured bacterium. RNAcentral's name for it is "partial 16S ribosomal RNA". It matches the Rfam family "Bacterial small subunit ribosomal RNA", at positions 338 to 795 of the family's 1533-position model. The record is from RNAcentral.